GCAAUGAAAAUACAUAAAAAUUAUUAUGAAAAAUUAGGACAGCCAAAACAAAAAACAAAGCCUCAUGUUGCAUGGUGCUCACUCUAAAAGUUUCAAACUUUUACUCUGUUAAUACACAGUUAAACAUUCCUAAGACAUUAAAUAAUCUUUGUUGAGUGUGAGACUUUAUGAUGUGCAAACGGAUGUGUAGAUGCAUAGCACAAUCUACUAUAAAUAGAAUUAGUAGAAGGUCCAUUUCACUUCUCAAGAAGUGAGGCUCAUGCAAUUUGUUGGGUGUAAAAUCCUAUUUAUCCCAUCUACAGACUUACUGAUUUUGGCAUCCCAGUGUACUGUACAUCUAAUCAUCCAUUUGUUUCCAACACAAGCAUAUCAAACCAGAGUUCUGUCACAGUUCAAAAUUACCAUUUUUGUUUUUAAUUAGUUCCGGAACCAGUCUCCAAAAAAGAUCACAUUCAGAUUUGCACAAGUGACCUCAAAUUUAUUGUAUAAUGAGAAUUCUGAACACUAAUAACCAAAUCAUAUGUUUCAGCAGUCAAUAAAAUGUGAAGUAUAUUUUUCAAAGAUUUUUCUAAUAUUACUUUUCUGAUGUACCAAAA
RNAcentral lists this unclassified non-coding RNA (596 nucleotides) under Hevea brasiliensis (rubber tree). Lineage: Eukaryota; Viridiplantae; Streptophyta; Magnoliopsida; Malpighiales; Euphorbiaceae. The record is from RNAcentral.